Long non-coding RNA from Camelus dromedarius (Arabian camel), 399 nucleotides. RefSeq lists it as uncharacterized. The transcript is spliced from 3 exons. The record is from RefSeq and is a predicted model, not a curated record. NCBI's taxonomy places the organism in Eukaryota, Metazoa, Chordata, Mammalia, Artiodactyla, Camelidae.
GCAGCCCGCGUAGACCCGGGACCCGCGCGGCUGAAGAAGGGCGCAGCGUCCCCUCCCCUACGGGGGUCGGUUUGGAAGCUGUGCCUAGUAUCGACGAGGCCCAGGGGAGCUGGAAUGGGUCCUGGCCGCACCCCGCGCGUUGCGGAUUGGAACCUGAGCAAAAUUUUGCAGAACUCAGAGAAAGCCAGCCCAGGAAGUGAUGAGGGUAUUGACAAUCGGAAAGGCUUCGUGUAACAGCAAGGCCCCUGGCUGAGUGGGUAGCAGGAAAGGACAAAGUUGUUUUGGAAGAAGCAUACACCUGACUGCCCACACUCAUGGGAGGCUUCACGUGCGCCUAGGGUUGUCGGACAAAUGUGACUGUCAGAUAAACCAUGAACAAUUUCUCGUAUUGUGCAACAU